This 815-nucleotide ribosomal RNA is filed under the name marine metagenome. RNAcentral describes it as "bacterial SSU rRNA". It matches the Rfam family "Bacterial small subunit ribosomal RNA", at positions 694 to 1520 of the family's 1533-position model. The record is from RNAcentral.
AUAUUAGAAAGAAUACCAAUUGCGAAGGCAGCUUUCUGGAUCAUUACUGACACUGAGGAACGAAAGCAUGGGUAGCGAAGAGGAUUAGAUACCCUCGUAGUCCAUGCCGUAAACGAUGUGUGUUAGACGUUGGAAAUUUAUUUUCAGUGUCGCAGCGAAAGCGAUAAACACACCGCCUGGGGAGUACGACCGCAAGGUUAAAACUCAAAUGAAUUGACGGGGACCCGCACAAGUAGUGGAGCAUGUGGUUUAAUUCGAAGAUACGCGCAGAACCUUACCAACACUUGACAUGUUCGUCGCGACUCUAAGAGAUUAGAGUUUUCGGUUCGGCCGGACGAAACACAGGUGCUGCAUGGCUGUCGUCAGCUCGUGUCGUGAGAUGUUGGGUUAAGUCCCGCAACGAGCGCAACCCUCACUUUUAGUUGCCAUCAUUAAGUUGGGCACUCUGAAAGAACUGCCAGUGAUAAGCUGGAGGAAGGUGGGGAUGACGUCAAGUCCUCAUGGCCCUUACGUGUUGGGCUACACACGUGCUACAAUGGUAUCUACAACAGGAAGCAAGACUGCGAAGUUAAGCAAAUCCCUAAAAGAUACCUCAGUUCGGAUUGCACUCUGCAACUCGAGUGCAUGAAGCUGGAAUUACUAGUAAUCGUGGAUCAGCGUGCCACGGUGAAUGCGUUCCCGGGUCUUGUACACACCGCCCGUCACACCAUGGGAGUUGGUUCUACCUUAAGGCAAGGUUUCAAACCCUUGACCACGGUAUAGUCAGCGACUGGGGUGAAGUCGUAACAAGGUAGCCGUAGGGGAACCUGCGGCUG